Molecule: ribosomal RNA, 439 nt
Filed under: Pyrenaearia carascalensis
Lineage: Eukaryota; Metazoa; Mollusca; Gastropoda; Stylommatophora; Hygromiidae
Description: partial 16S ribosomal RNA
Rfam family: Bacterial large subunit ribosomal RNA
Source: RNAcentral
AAACAUUGCUUUAUGUAAUAUAUAAGGUUAACCCUGCUCAAUGACAUGUUAAAUAGCCGCAGUACUUUGACUGUGCAAAGGUAGCAUAAUCAUUUGGCUUAUAAUUGGAGUCUGGAAUGAAUGGGAGUAUGGGUAGUAACUGUCUUACCAUAAAUAAGUGAAUUUACUAAUUAAGUGAAAAUUCUUAUAAUUUAUAUAAUAGACGAGAAGACCCUAGAAAUUUUAUAUAUUUAUGUUUACCUAAGCUAUUUUGUUGGGGCGACAGAACAACAUAAAAACUUGUUUAUUUUUAUUUGACCUUAUUGAAUAGUAUAAUUAAAUUACUCUAGGGAUAACAGCAUAAUACAAAAGAGUUUGUGACCUCGAUGUUGGACUAGGAAUGUUAUUGUUUAAAAGAUAAUAAUAAAGGCUCUGUUCGAGCUGGUACUCCUACGUGAUC